UACGAGAAGUGCCGAGGCCGGCUCCACGCUUGCCAAGCAGCUUAAAAGCAGCCAACGUGGCGUGUAAUUGCUUCGAGGGAGACAAUGACGCCGCAGAAAUGGGAACGAACCCUCCCUCUAUCACCAGCUCCAAUCCAACCAGAUGAAAGUGACCAAAUAUAUCUUCAUGAAGAUAUGGGACUAUUGCUAUGGGAACAGGAAUAUGACACUGAGCUUCCUACAGACUCCAAGAUUCCAACCAGGUAAAUUCCUAUUGUGACACUACACCCGAUAUUUGUCAUAGUAAUAUUAUUAUGAUACGAUUAUGGCAUAAU
Molecule: long non-coding RNA, 314 nt
Organism: Trachemys scripta elegans
Lineage: Eukaryota; Metazoa; Chordata; Testudines; Emydidae
Exons: 3
Source: RefSeq, a predicted model, not a curated record